This 365-nucleotide unclassified non-coding RNA is filed under the name soil metagenome. RNAcentral's name for it is "partial contains 5.8S ribosomal RNA, internal transcribed spacer 2, and large subunit ribosomal RNA". The stretch from base 1 to 120 matches the Rfam family "5.8S ribosomal RNA", at positions 35 to 154 of the family's 154-position model. The record is from RNAcentral.
GAUGAAGAACGUAGCGAAAUGCGAUAAGUAAUGUGAAUUGCAGAAUUCAGUGAAUCAUCGAAUCUUUGAACGCACAUUGCGCCCGCCAGCAUUCUGGCGGGCAUGCCUGUUCGAGCGUCAUUUCAACCCUCGCAGCCCAUCUGGGCAGCGGUGUUGGGGACCGGCACCACCGGCGAAGCCCUUAGGGGCCCAGCCGGCGCCGCCCCCGAAAUACAGUGGCGGUCUCGCUGCAGCCUCCCUUGCGUAGUAGCACACCUCGCACCGGAGCGCAGCGCGGCCACGCCGUAAAACCCCCGACUUUCUGAGUUUGACCUCGAAUCAGGUAGGAAUACCCUCUGAACUUAAGCAUAUCAAUAAGCGGAGGA